RNAcentral lists this ribosomal RNA (499 nucleotides) under uncultured bacterium. RNAcentral describes it as "bacterial SSU rRNA". It matches the Rfam family "Bacterial small subunit ribosomal RNA", at positions 28 to 521 of the family's 1533-position model. The record is from RNAcentral.
GAUGAACGCUAGCGGGAGGCCUAACACAUGCAAGUCGAGGGGCAACAGGUUGUAGCAAUACAACGCUGGCGACCGGCGCACGGGUGCGUAACACGUAUGUAACUUGCCUACAACUGGGAAAUAGCCCAAAGAAAUUUGGAUUAAUAUCCCAUAGUAUUACGAAAUCGCAUGGUUUUGUAAUUAAAGAACUUCGGUUGUAGAUAGGCAUGCGGCUGAUUAGCUAGUUGGUGAGGUAACGGCUCACCAAGGCAACGAUCAGUAGGGGGCCUAAGAGGGUGAACCCCCACACUGGUACUGAGACACGGACCAGACUCCUACGGGAGGCAGCAGUGAGGAAUAUUGGUCAAUGGGCGCAAGCCUGAACCAGCCAUCCCGCGUGAAGGAUGAAGGCUCUAGUAGUUGUAAACUUCUUUUAUAUGGGAAGAAACCUGAGUACGUGUACCCAGUUGACGGUACCAUAUGAAUAAGCAUCGGCUAACUCCGUGCCAGCAGCCGCGGU